This 1622-nucleotide ribosomal RNA is filed under the name Salmonella enterica subsp. enterica serovar Typhimurium. RNAcentral describes it as "partial 23S ribosomal RNA". It matches the Rfam family "Bacterial large subunit ribosomal RNA", at positions 373 to 1895 of the family's 2925-position model. The record is from RNAcentral. Lineage: Bacteria; Pseudomonadati; Pseudomonadota; Gammaproteobacteria; Enterobacterales; Enterobacteriaceae.
CCGUACACAAAAGCGCAUGUGCUGUGAGCUCGAUGAGUAGGGCGGGACACGUGGUAUCCUGUCUGAAUAUGGGGGGACCAUCCUCCAAGGCUAAAUACUCCUGACUGACCGAUAGUGAACCAGUACCGUGAGGGAAAGGCGAAAAGAACCCCGGCGAGGGGAGUGAAAAAGAACCUGAAACCGUGUACGUACAAGCAGUGGGAGCACAGGUUUACCUGUGUGACUGCGUACCUUUUGUAUAAUGGGUCAGCGACUUAUAUUCUGUAGCAAGGUUAACCGUAUAGGGGAGCCGGAGGGAAACCGAGUCUUAAUUGGGCGUUAAGUUGCAGGGUAUAGACCCGAAACCCGGUGAUCUAGCCAUGGGCAGGUUGAAGGUUGGGUAACACUAACUGGAGGACCGAACCGACUAAUGUUGAAAAAUUAGCGGAUGACCUGUGGCUGGGGGUGAAAGGCCAAUCAAACCGGGAGAUAGCUGGUUCUCCCCGAAAGCUAUUUAGGUAGCGCCUCGUGAAUUCAUCUCCGGGGGUAGAGCACUGUUUCGGCUAGGGGGCCAUCCCGGCUUACCAACCCGAUGCAAACUGCGAAUACCGGAGAAUGUUAUCACGGGAGACACACGGCGGGUGCUAACGUCCGUCGUGAAGAGGGAAACAACCCAGACCGCCAGCUAAGGUCCCAAAGUCAUGGUUAAGUGGGAAACGAUGUGGGAAGGCCCAGACAGCCAGGAUGUUGGCUUAGAAGCAGCCAUCAUUUAAAGAAAGCGUAAUAGCUCACUGGUCGAGUCGGCCUGCGCGGAAGAUGUAACGGGGCUAAACCAUGCACCGAAGCUGCGGCAGCGAACGUAUCACCCAAGACAACUUUACGGAGUUGACGAUUGACGGAGCGAAGCGACGUCAAAGCGUUCAUUAAAGUCGAGUUGGCUUAGGGAUACGUUCGUUGGGUAGGGGAGCGUUCUGUAAGCCUGUGAAGGUGUGUCGUGAGGCAUGCUGGAGGUAUCAGAAGUGCGAAUGCUGACAUAAGUAACGAUAAAGCGGGUGAAAAGCCCGCUCGCCGGAAGACCAAGGGUUCCUGUCCAACGUUAAUCGGGGCAGGGUGAGUCGACCCCUAAGGCGAGGCCGAAAGGCGUAGUCGAUGGGAAACGGGUUAAUAUUCCCGUACUUGGUGUUACUGCGAAGGGGGGACGGAGAAGGCUAUGUUGGCCGGGCGACGGUUGUCCCGGUUUAAGCGUGUAGGUGUGUGUUCCAGGUAAAUCCGGUUCACUUUAACACUGAGGCGUGACGACGAGGCACUACGGUGCUGAAGCAACAAAUGCCCUGCUUCCAGGAAAAGCCUCUAAGCAUCAGGUAACACGAAAUCGUACCCCAAACCGACACAGGUGGUCAGGUAGAGAAUACCAAGGCGCUUGAGAGAACUCGGGUGAAGGAACUAGGCAAAAUGGUGCCGUAACUUCGGGAGAAGGCACGCUGACACGUAGGUGAAGUGAUUUACUCAUGGAGCUGAAGUCAGUCGAAGAUACCAGCUGGCUGCAACUGUUUAUUAAAAACACAGCACUGUGCAAACACGAAAGUGGACGUAUACGGUGUGACGCCUGCCCGGUGCCGGAAGGUUAAUUGAUGGGGUCAGCG